Molecule: long non-coding RNA, 3291 nt
Filed under: Salvia miltiorrhiza (redroot sage)
Lineage: Eukaryota; Viridiplantae; Streptophyta; Magnoliopsida; Lamiales; Lamiaceae
Description: long non-coding RNA (SMIL_LNC004850)
Source: RNAcentral
AAGCUAUCUCAGGAGAUCAUGUAAAAUUAGUGCUUUCAUCGGGGCAUGAACCUCCUGGACGCCCUGACGUUCAGCAUGCAUCAGAUCCUCUCAGAAGCAAUGCUCCUAACCAUGGUGAGAACCAGUUUGGCAGAACCAUUCAAGUUCACGCUGCUAGAAAGCUGGACAAGAAUGUGAAAUUCAAAUACAUACCGAAACAAAAAACUAUUGCGUAGGUAAAUUUGGUGAUUCAGAAUUGUUUAGUUUAGGAAAUUGCCCUCAGUUUCUCAGCAGAGGUUCCAGUUUUACAGUGGUCUUCUGUCGGACAAGUGAAGGAAUUUUUCUUGAGGAAUCCCUUUGUUUUUUUUAGUUUAAUAUUUUUGAGCAGUGGUGAGCUUGUGAGGUGGUCGAUGGUUUAAGUUCGAGGUUGGAUCUUGGAUUUUGCUGCACCUGUAAAGUUGUUGUUGGGUGGGGUGGGGGGGGGGAUCCCAUCGAUAUAUUUUUUUUUUUGUUAAUUACAAACUUUUUGGGGUUCGCUUACUUGGUAAAUGUAUGACAGAUUUUAGCUGAAAAUUAUAGUUUUUUGAUUAAUAAGAAUUGAACUUCACAUUUAGUGUUUCGUUAGCGCUAUACGACGGUGAAUGUGGAUUAGCAAUUUAUGAAACAAUAUUUAGCAUAUGAUCUGUUAAACUAGAGGUGAGGUUAGUGGUUCUAGUAUUUUUCUGAACGAUAAUUCUCUUUGUGUAAGAGGGUCUAUGACUAUUUUGGUAGGCCAUCGUCCACUUUAUUUUAGACCAUUAAUUGUAAGAGAAUGUUAAACUAAGGAGAUUAAUACCAUAACCAGGGGGCUUAGCCCACUGGCCACCGGGUCCUCACUUAAGUGAAGUGACCCGGGUUCGAUCCCUCUUGGGAGCGAAUUGGAGAUUGGGGAGAUAUAAGGUGGAUUUUGGUGAAUGGAGAGAUAAGGUGGUUCUUGGAGUGGAUGGGGGAACUAACUACUAACAUCUAACAUGACUUUGCCCGAUCAAAAAAAAAAAAAAAAAAUAUACCAUAACUGGCACGCUGAUAUUGCUCUUUUGGAUUUGAAUUGAUCAAUCAAGUGGUCUUUCUUCUCAAAAAAGAAAAAAAAAGGAUGAAUUAUCUAAGGUCUUUAAUCGGUCUCUAACUUGUUUUCUUUCUUUUCUUUUUAUUGAAAACCAAAACUUGGGGUUUUUUUUAUGCCCUAAGUCACCCCAAUGGACAUUACUAUUUUGCUUUGCUUACCUUACAUCUUUCUGUGUCAUGAAUAGCAAACUUGAAAAAACAGGAAAAAAUCUAUAUGUUAUACUCCUAGUACAGUAUAGAUUACAUGAAUUGAAAUGAUGCAAUACAAUAAUGACAUGACAUAGCAUUUACUAAAAAAUAUGUAAAAUAUUUUUCGUGAACAUUAAUAAGCCUACUAGAUCACAGCUCAGUUGAUAAGACUAGGGAUGACAACGGGCCGGAUCUGGACCGGGUCUGGCCAAUACCAGAUCCAGAUCCGUUUUCAUAUACUAGAUCCAGAUCCAGAUCCAGAUCCGUGGAUCUGAAAAUUUUGGAUCCAGAUCCAGAUCCGUCAGAUCCGCGGGUCCACGGGUCCAGAUCCAUGGAUCUACUAUUUUUAAAUUAAAAUUAAAAAAUUUCACAAAUCAACAAUAUCUAAUUUCCAUCAUGAAAAAUAUAACACAAAAUACUUUUAUCUAAUUACUUUUAGUUUUUAUUCUUUUGAAUAUAAUUUAUUUAUUAUUUUUAAUUUAGUUAAUAUUAUUAGUAAACUGAAUAUAAAAUAUAAAAUAUAUAUAUAAAAUAAAACGGAUCCACGGGUCGGAUCUGGGCCGGAUCCGGAUCUACAAUUUUAAGAUCCAGAUCCAGAUCCGUUUUCAAAACUGAGAUCCAGAUCCAGAUCCAGAUCCGUCGGGUCCAAAAAAUUGAGAUCCAGAUCCGUAAAAACGGAUCUGGAUCCACGGAUCUGGACCGGGUCCAAGAUCCACUGCCAUCCCUAGAUAAGACGCAUUCUUUCAAACCAUUAGAUUGGAACUUUGAGUUGUAAUAAGAAAAUGAAAAAUUAUUAUUGAAUAUCUUUUGAGAAAAGAGAAAAAAGAAAAAAACGUUAGUAAUAGUAUUGCUUGGGUUAAAACACAGGAAUCGGAUUGAAAAAUAUCGAUAUGAGAAAUUGGUGAACAAGUGGCAAGUAUCCUAAACAUUCACCUCAAUUUCCCUUCCAAAAAGCUCUCCCCUCCAUUCGCUCUCUCUCUCUAACAAAAACAAAAGAAAAUGGUAACCUCUCUAUCCGGAUAACAUACUUUCCAUUUCCUCACACAACAAAAUCACUCUCUCUCUCAACUACACACAGGAUUUUGAAGCAUGGUCGGGUGGAAUCGGUCCAUCAGGCGACAUAACUCUCCCGAGCGAAGACCACAACCACCCGAAACCGCCAACGCCGCCCUGAAGGCCGCCGGCAAGCCCUCCGCCUUCUUCACCUUCCGGCAGCUCAACGCCCUGGCCGUGGCGGUAGUCCUCUCGGCGAGCGGCAUGGUGAGCCCCGAGGACUUGGCCUUCGUCCUCUUCUCCCUCAUCUACAUCUACUUCAUCGGCAAAGUCGCCUUCCCCCCGACCUCCGCCCACGCGGAGCCCCCCGUCUUCGGCGAGAGCAACAAGCUCCUCNCUUCUGUGUUCUAUACUACAUAAAUCUGAGUUAAAUACUUGUUUUCAUUUAUUGCGUUGCAGUGAGCCUUAUAAAACUCAAUUUAUGCAGGAUGGAAAGAAGCUAUCUCAGGAGAUCAUGUAAAAUUAGUGCUUUCAUCGGGGCAUGAACCUCCUGGACGCCCUGACGCUCAGCAUGCAUCAGAUCCUCUCAGAAGCAAUGCUCCUAACCAUGGUGAGAACCAGUUUGGCAGAACCAUUCAAGUUCACGCUGCUAGAAAGCUGGACAAGAAUGUGAAAUUCAAAUACAUACCGAAACAAAAAACUAUUGCGUAGGUAAAUUUGGUGAUUCAGAAUUGUUUAGUUUAGGAAAUUGCCCUCAGUUUCUCAGCAGAGGUUCCAGUUUUACAGUGGUCUUCUGUCGGACAAGUGAAGGAAUUUUUCUUGAGGAAUCCCUUUGUUUUUUUUAGUUUAAUAUUUUUGAGCAGUGGUGAGCUUGUGAGGUGGUCGAUGGUUUAAGUUCGAGGUUGGAUCUUGGAUUUUGCUGCACCUGUAAAGUUGUUGUUGGGUGGGGGGGGGGAUCCCAUCGAUAUUUUUUUUUUUUGUUAAUUACAAACUUUUUGGGGUUCGCUUACUUGGUAAAUGUAUGAC